CCUACGGGAGGCUGCAGUGAGGAAUAUUGGUCAAUGGACGAGAGUCUGAACCAGCCAAGUAGCGUGAAGGAUGACUGCCCUAUGGGUUGUAAACUUCUUUUAUAUGGGAAUAAAAUGUUCCACGUGUGGGAUUUUGUAUGUACCAUAUGAAUAAGGAUCGGCCAACUCCCUGCCAGCAGCCGGGGGAAUACGGAGGAACCGAGCGUUAUCCGGAUUUAUUGGGUUUAAAGGGAUCGGAUGUCGAUUGUUAAGUCAGUUGUGAAAGUUUGCGGCUCAACCGUAAAAUUGCAGUUGAAACUGGCAGUCUUGAGUAGAGUAGAGGUGGGCGGAAUUCGUGGUGUAGCGGUGAAAUGCUUAGAUAUCGCGAAGAACUCCGAUUGCGAAGGCAGCUCACUGGACGGCAACUGACACUGAGGCUCGAAAGUGUGGGUAUCAAACAGGAUUAGAUACCCGAGUAGUC
Molecule: ribosomal RNA, 460 nt
Filed under: uncultured bacterium
Lineage: Bacteria
Description: partial 16S ribosomal RNA
Rfam family: Bacterial small subunit ribosomal RNA
Source: RNAcentral